This 492-nucleotide ribosomal RNA is filed under the name uncultured Paracoccaceae bacterium. Its description in RNAcentral is "bacterial SSU rRNA". It matches the Rfam family "Bacterial small subunit ribosomal RNA", at positions 92 to 619 of the family's 1533-position model. Lineage: Bacteria; Pseudomonadati; Pseudomonadota; Alphaproteobacteria; Rhodobacterales; Paracoccaceae. The record is from RNAcentral.
UUAGUGGCGGACGGGUGAGUAACGCGUGGGAACGUACCCUUCUCUACGGAACAGUCCUGGGAAACUGGGUUUAAUACCGUAUACGCUCUUCGGAGGAAAGAUUUAUCGGAGAAGGAUCGGCCCGCGUUGGAUUAGGUAGUUGGUGGGGUAAUGGCCUACCAAGCCUACGAUCCAUAGCUGGUUUGAGAGGAUGAUCAGCCACACUGGGACUGAGACACGGCCCAGACUCCUACGGGAGGCAGCAGUGGGGAAUCUUAGACAAUGGGGGCAACCCUGAUCUAGCCAUGCCGCGUGAUCGAUGAAGGCCUUAGGGUUGUAAAGAUCUUUCGCUGGGGAAGAUAAUGACGGUACCCAGUAAAGAAGCCCCGGCUAACUCCGUGCCAGCAGCCGCGGUAAUACGGAGGGGGCUAGCGUUGUUCGGAAUUACUGGGCGUAAAGCGCGCGUAGGCGGAUUGGAAAGUUGGGGGUGAAAUCCCGGGGCUCAACCCUGGA